This 272-nucleotide unclassified non-coding RNA is filed under the name Hevea brasiliensis (rubber tree). The record is from RNAcentral. Lineage: Eukaryota; Viridiplantae; Streptophyta; Magnoliopsida; Malpighiales; Euphorbiaceae.
GUCGGGUUUAGAGGCCUCCCCAAUAUUAAAAGACGGAAUUUUAAUUUAAGUUUAUAUAUUUUAGUUGUUGAAAUUGGCCGAUGAAGAAAUUACCGUCGAUUUCCAAGGCCUCCCGUGUUAAUAAGACGGAUUUUUAUUUUUAUGUUAUUAGUUGAGUUAUUCAUUUUUAUUUAUAUUUAUUUGGUACUAACUCUUUUACUAAGUGUUUACAGGUACCCGGAGGUGCAUCUCCUUGAAUUAUUCGAAUGAAGUUCGAAUCGUACUUUGUUUCA